This 460-nucleotide ribosomal RNA is filed under the name uncultured bacterium. Its description in RNAcentral is "partial 16S ribosomal RNA". It matches the Rfam family "Bacterial small subunit ribosomal RNA", at positions 338 to 795 of the family's 1533-position model. The record is from RNAcentral.
CCUACGUGUGGCAGCAGUGAGGAAUAUUGGUCAAUGGGCGCGAGCCUGAACCAGCCAAGUAGCGUGAAGGAUGACUGCCCUACGGGUUGUAAACUUCUUUUAUAAAGGAAUAAAGUGAGGCACGUGUGCCUUUUUGUAUGUACUUUAUGAAUAAGGAUCGGCUAACUCCGUGCCAGCAGCCGCGGUACUACGGAGGCUCCGAGCGUUAUCCGGAUUUAUUGGGUUUAAAGGGCGCGUAGAUGGGUUGUUAAGUCAGUUGUGAAAGUUUGCGGCUCAACCGUAAAAUUGCAAUUGAUACUGGCAGUCUUGAGUAUAGUUGAGGUAGGCGGAAUUCGUGGUGUAGCGGUGAAAUGCUUAGAUAUCACGAAGAACUCCGAUUGCGAAGGCAGCUUACUAAACUGCCACUGACAUUGAUGCUCGAAAGUGUGGGUAUCAAACAGGAUUAGAUACCCCUGUAGUC